GCUUGUCUCAAAGAUUAAGCCAUGCAUGUCUAAGUAUAAACGACUUUAUACUGUGAAACUGCGAAUGGCUCAUUAUAUCAGUUAUAGUCUACUCGAUAGUACCUUACUACUUGGAUAACCGUAGUAAUUCUAGAGCUAAUACAUGCAUCAAUACCCAACUGCUUGUCGGACGGGUAGCAUUUAUUAGAUUGAAACCAAUGCAGUCUUCGGGCUGGUAUUGUGUUGAGUCAUAAUAACUGUGCGGACCGUACUUUUGUGCGGUAAAUCGAUUGAGUUUCUGCCCUAUCAGCUUUGGAUGGUAGGAUAUGGGCCUACCAUGGCAUUAACGGGUAACGGGGAAUUAGGGUUUGAUUCCGGAGAGGGAGCCUUAGAAACGGCUACCACAUCCAAGGAAGGCAGCAGG
RNAcentral lists this ribosomal RNA (403 nucleotides) under uncultured Oomycota. RNAcentral's name for it is "partial small subunit ribosomal RNA". It matches the Rfam family "Eukaryotic small subunit ribosomal RNA", at positions 30 to 432 of the family's 1831-position model. The record is from RNAcentral. Lineage: Eukaryota; Oomycota.